This 855-nucleotide long non-coding RNA is filed under the name Hordeum vulgare. RNAcentral describes it as "long non-coding RNA (HVUL_LNC008320)". Lineage: Eukaryota; Viridiplantae; Streptophyta; Magnoliopsida; Poales; Poaceae. The record is from RNAcentral.
GAGGAGGCGGAGCACUUCACCGCCAAUUCUUUUUAAGAUCUUCAUAGGCUGUACUGAAACUCCUUUUAAAAAAAAUACUUCCUUCUUUCAUUAAAGUUGUUAAAACAUUAAAUUUAAGAUGAAGGAAGUAUGAAAAAACAAAUAGUCGCAAGCAAGCAAUAGCAAAGCAGUCGUUGUGGUGGAGGCUCGAGCGUAACAUACAGGGACAUGCUAGGGUGGUUGAGGGCAUCCCCACCCUCCUGGUUAGGGAUAGCCAUUUUUUUGUUUGGUUGAAAGGGUGGUGUUAUCUCAUGUGUUUGUUUGAUUUAAGGGAUAUAAAUGAAGGAUAAGGGUGCGACCUCGACGGUGCGAAAGAAGGAGACGAUCGGCUGAUGACAGAGGAAGAGNCAGAGGAAGAAGAGGAGCGGUCGACGGCGCGGAUGAAGGAGAGGAGCGGCCGGCGGCGUGGAGGAAGGAGAGGAGCGCCGACCAGUGAACACAGCGCACGGGAUGGAUGUCGCGACCCUUCCGUUUUGGACGGUUGACCCCAUCCCUGUUUUGAGGAAAUAUUCUUGACAUCUGAUUGUCCCUGUCCUCCCUCGCCUCGGAUCCAAACAGGUGACGUCCCUCGCAUAGAAGGGAUAUCCCUGUAAUCAAACGCACCCUAAAGCUACCACGCCGUCACCGACGGAUGGGCCCGAAAGCGCGUGAGACUGGGCGCGGGCCUGAACGUCGUCGAACAGCGGUCCCACGAAAAGGCCAGUCACGAGUCAGGACGUCUUCUUUGGUGGCUGCGAGUUUUGGCUUAGCCAGAGACGACAAGAUUAGCUCAGGCUGUAAUAGAACGAGCUACGUGACUAAUCAUCUGUUUCUUCA